RNAcentral lists this ribosomal RNA (448 nucleotides) under uncultured bacterium. RNAcentral's name for it is "bacterial SSU rRNA". It matches the Rfam family "Bacterial small subunit ribosomal RNA", at positions 167 to 604 of the family's 1533-position model. The record is from RNAcentral.
UACCGAAUAAGAUCCUUUUGCUAUGGCGGAAGGAUGAAAGGGGCUUCGGCCUCGCCGAGAGAUGAGUCUGCGUAUGAUUAGCUAGUUGGUGUGGUAAAGACGCACCAAGGCGACGAUCAUUAGCCGGCCUGAGAGGGUGACCGGCCACAUUGGGACUGAGACACGGCCCAGACUCCUACGGGAGGCAGCAGCUAAGAAUCUUCCGCAAUGGGCGAAAGCCUGACGGAGCGACGCCGCGUGGGUGAAGAAGGCCGAGAGGUUGUAAAGCCCUUUUCUUACAGAAGAAUAAGUCCUUGAGGUAAUGCGGGGAUGAUGACGUUAUGUGAGGAAUAAGCACCGGCCAAUUACGUGCCAGCAGCCGCGGUAACACGUAAGGUGCGAGCGUUGUUCGGAAUUAUUGGGCGUAAAGGGCUUGUAGGCGGSCUGCCAAGUCUCACGUGAAAGACCA